This 443-nucleotide long non-coding RNA is filed under the name Cyanistes caeruleus (blue tit). Its description in RNAcentral is "lncRNA (ENSCCEG00000022820.1)". The record is from RNAcentral. Lineage: Eukaryota; Metazoa; Chordata; Aves; Passeriformes; Paridae.
AUAUGCAACAGAUGCAUUCCAUUUUGAAGUUCACUUUAAAAUGCUAAAAGAUUAAAGUGCCACUCUAAAGUCUUUUUAAGAGCCAGCCCUGCCAUGCCCAUGUCGAGGUGUCCUUGCAGGAUGGUGACAGAACAUCAAGACUCAUAAGAGAGCAGAACAGAGUCAAGUACAGAUAUGACUUUUCCUCAAUGACUGCUCAAUGAUAGUCAUCUGACCUAGUUUUAUGAUAUGGAUUAAAGUAAAUCCCAUAAUGGUAAUGGCUGUUAUAAUUGUUAUGUGACAUACGGUCCAAGAGGUCUAUCCCAAAGUGAAAGUUAUAUAUACAUCACAUUUGCAGCAGGAGAUACACAAGAGCAUAGACACUACUGUGCGUAGGAGCGAUGACACAAAGACAACUGUGUGGGAUGGAGGCUGGCACACGGUCAUCUGUUUUGGUUUCAAUU